UCAAUUGCGCAUCUGGAUUGAGUUGGCUGAGUUAAGUUUUAUUCUGUUAUUUCAUUGGUUCUUUGAUUUCAUUGGUCAUUUCAUAUUUCUUUAUCCAAUAAUAGUAUUUCAGUAUAUGUAUAAAUCUACCGCGCUUAUCUAUGUAGUUAGAGCAGUAAUACGUUUUGAAGAGUUACAACCAGCUGAUAUCUUCCGCAUCUUAUGGUCAAUGCCUUUAUUUUCUACUGAAUAAAUUAAUAAAACCAA
Molecule: long non-coding RNA, 246 nt
Organism: Ostrea edulis (European flat oyster)
Lineage: Eukaryota; Metazoa; Mollusca; Bivalvia; Ostreida; Ostreidae
Exons: 2
Source: RefSeq, a predicted model, not a curated record